RNAcentral lists this ribosomal RNA (208 nucleotides) under uncultured bacterium. RNAcentral's name for it is "partial 16S ribosomal RNA". It matches the Rfam family "Bacterial small subunit ribosomal RNA", at positions 567 to 774 of the family's 1533-position model. The record is from RNAcentral.
UUGCGUAGGUGGCAUAGUAAGCAGGUAGUGAAAGCGUGUGGCUCAACCAUACUCACAUUAUCUGAACUGCUAAGCUAGAGUACAUGAGAGGUAGUUGGAAUUCCUAGUGUAGGAGUGAAAUCCGUAGAUAUUAGGAGGAACACCAAUGGCGUAGGCAGACUACUGGCAUGUUACUGACACUAAGGCACGAAAGCGUGGGGAGCGAACG